UUCCAUCCUCAAACCUGCAAUAAGCUACAUACAUAGAUUUUGCUAAAAUGGCCAUCUAUGGUGCCUCCAAAUUCAUGACAUAUGUUGCCGUUGCAGCAAUAGUUUUACUAAUGUUCUCUACGGUGGCAAGUGCUGACAAACCUGCUAUUUAUAAACUCUGGAGAAAACUAUUCCAGCGUCCACCAUCAUAUGAAACAUAUCCUGGUGGUGGAGGAUAUACCCCUUCAUCAAAGCCAUGAAGAAAGGGAGAAACUGAUGCAUAAAAGUUCACUGUGCCUGAAAUAUUGGACACGUGUUAUAGCAUCGUUCUUUAGUUCUAUUAUUUCAUACGAGUACAAUAUAGGAAAAUAAUACAUGACAUGUUCAUGUACUUAAUUUCGGCUAAUAACGUGUACUACUAUUAUCUGUCACCACUAAUUAGUGGCUAGACCUGAAUUGCAAUCAAUAUAUAUACAUAUUCCGUGAUAACUGUGUGUGCGUAUACCAAAAUGUCUAACACCUCCAUGUAUUAGAUUAAUGAACUAAACUUUGAAUGCAACUCAUAGAAAUGCUUCUAAGCUUA
Long non-coding RNA from Vigna angularis (adzuki bean), 562 nucleotides. RefSeq lists it as uncharacterized. The record is from RefSeq and is a predicted model, not a curated record. Lineage: Eukaryota; Viridiplantae; Streptophyta; Magnoliopsida; Fabales; Fabaceae. The transcript is spliced from 2 exons.